Molecule: ribosomal RNA, 965 nt
Filed under: Pseudomonas sp.
Lineage: Bacteria; Pseudomonadati; Pseudomonadota; Gammaproteobacteria; Pseudomonadales; Pseudomonadaceae
Description: bacterial SSU rRNA
Rfam family: Bacterial small subunit ribosomal RNA
Source: RNAcentral
UGCAGUCGAGCGGAUGAAGGAGCUUGCUCCUGGAUUCAGCGGCGGACGGGUGAGUAAUGCCUAGGAAUCUGCCUGGUAGUGGGGGACAACGUUUCGAAAGGAACGCUAAUACCGCAUACGUCCUACGGGAGAAAGCAGGGGACCUUCGGGCCUUGCGCUAUCAGAUGAGCCUAGGUCGGAUUAGCUAGUUGGUGAGGUAAUGGCUCACCAAGGCGACGAUCCGUAACUGGUCUGAGAGGAUGAUCAGUCACACUGGAACUGAGACACGGUCCAGACUCCUACGGGAGGCAGCAGUGGGGAAUAUUGGACAAUGGGCGAAAGCCUGAUCCAGCCAUGCCGCGUGUGUGAAGAAGGUCUUCGGAUUGUAAAGCACUUUAAGUUGGGAGGAAGGGCAUUAACCUAAUACGUUAGUGUUUUGACGUUACCGACAGAAUAAGCACCGGCUAACUCUGUGCCAGCAGCCGCGGUAAUACAGAGGGUGCAAGCGUUAAUCGGAAUUACUGGGCGUAAAGCGCGCGUAGGUGGUUCGUUAAGUUGAAUGUGAAAUCCCCGGGCUCAACCUGGGAACUGCAUCCAAAACUGGCGAGCUAGAGUAUGGUAGAGGGUGGUGGAAUUUCCUGUGUAGCGGUGAAAUGCGUAGAUAUAGGAAGGAACACCAGUGGCGAAGGCGACCACCUGGACUGAUACUGACACUGAGGUGCGAAAGCGUGGGGAGCAAACAGGAUUAGAUACCCUGGUAGUCCACGCCGUAAACGAUGUCAACUAGCCGUUGGGAGCCUUGAGCUCUUAGUGGCGCAGCUAACGCAUUAAGUUGACCGCCUGGGGAGUACGGCCGCAAGGUUAAACUCAAAUGAAUUGACCGGGGCCCGACAAGCGGUGGAGCAUGUGGUUAAUUCGAACCACCCGAAAAACUUACCAGGCUUGACAUCCAUGACUUUCCAAAAUGGAUGGUGCCUUCGGAACUU